GACGAACGCUGGCGGCGUGCUUAACACAUGCAAGUCGAACGGUGAAGCGCCUUCCUUUUUGGUGGGUGUGGAUGAGUGGCGAACGGGUGAGUAACACGUGAGUAACCUGCCCCCUUCUUCUGGAUAACCGCAUGCAAGUGUGGCUAAUACGGGAUAUUCUGGGUCUGUCGCAUGAUGGGUCUGGGAAAGAUAUUGUUUCGGUGGGGGAUGGGCUCGCGGCCUAUCAGCUUGUUGGUGGGGUGAUGGCCUACCAAGGCGGUGACGGGUAGCCGGCCUGAGAGGGUGGACGGUCACACUGGGACUGAGACACGGCGCAGACUCCUACAGGAGGCAGCAGUGGGGAAUAUUGCACAAUGGGCGCAAGGCUGAUGCAGCGACGCCGCGUGAGGGAUGGAGGCCUUCGGGUUGUGAACCUCUUUCGCCAGUGAAGCAGGCCUGCCUCGUUUGUGGGUGGGUUGACGGUAGCUGGAUAAGAAGCGCCGGCUAACUACGUG
Molecule: ribosomal RNA, 494 nt
Filed under: uncultured bacterium
Lineage: Bacteria
Description: partial 16S ribosomal RNA
Rfam family: Bacterial small subunit ribosomal RNA
Source: RNAcentral